This 233-nucleotide ribosomal RNA is filed under the name uncultured bacterium. Its description in RNAcentral is "partial 16S ribosomal RNA". It matches the Rfam family "Bacterial small subunit ribosomal RNA", at positions 100 to 334 of the family's 1533-position model. The record is from RNAcentral.
CGGGACGGGUGAGUAAUGUCUGGGGAACUGCCUGAUGAGGGGGGAUAACUACUGGAAACGGUAGCUAAUACCGCAUAACGUCGCAAGACCAAAGAGGGGGACCUUAGGGCCUCUUGCCAUCGGAUGUGCCCAGAUGGGAUUAGCUAGUAGGUGGGGUAACGGCUCACCUAGGCGACGAUCCCUAGCUGGUCUGAGAGGAUGACCAGCCACACUGGAACUGAGACACGGUCCAG